ACCUAUCUAUAAAUAAUCUGCUAAACUUCUUGACACGUGGGUAUAAAAGCGCGUGCAGGCUGCCCCAUAGAUGAGUAUUCCCACCAUGUACUUUAAACUGCUGGUAUUGGUUUCUGUUGGUCUCCUGUGCAUCAGUGUUGUCUCAGGUCACACAAAUAGAUAUUGCAAUUUUUGCUAUGGUGAGUCCAACGGGUCCUCUCCAGACUUUUCGAACUGUCGUAACUUUGUUAAUGUUACCAAAGUUUACGACUGUACAUCAAAUCAUUAUUGCGUCUCUUUUCAUGAAACUGUAAAAACAGACAAAGCUACUUAUACCGUUGCGAAGAGAACAUGUAGCAACGAUUGUGCUUGGUACAAGAAAAAAGGCAGAGCAGACCUACAUUGUUCGCAGUGCGAAACCGAUUAUUGCAAUAAGGAGAAAUUUUGAUCAAUAAGACGAAACUUCUAUAAGGAUUAUGAACAUAUUUCUGGAUACUACUAUUACUAUGUUAUUGUGUUUUUUUCU
Photinus pyralis (common eastern firefly) is the source of this 505-nucleotide long non-coding RNA. RefSeq lists it as uncharacterized. The record is from RefSeq and is a predicted model, not a curated record. Lineage: Eukaryota; Metazoa; Arthropoda; Insecta; Coleoptera; Lampyridae. The transcript is spliced from 3 exons.